UACGUAGGGGCAAGCGUUGUCCGGAAUCAUUGGGCGUAAAGCGCGUGUAGGCGGCUCGGUAAGUCCGCUCUGAAAGCCCGGGGCUCAACCCCGGGAGGCGGGUGGAUACUGCUGAGCUCGAGUCCGGAAGAGGAGUGUGGAAUUCCUGGUGUAGCGGUGAAAUGCGCAGAUAUCAGGAAGAACACCAAUGCGAAGGCAGCUCUCUGGGACGGUACUGACGCUGAGAGCGAAAGCGUGGGGAGCAACGGAUAGAUAC
RNAcentral lists this ribosomal RNA (256 nucleotides) under uncultured bacterium. Its description in RNAcentral is "partial 16S ribosomal RNA". It matches the Rfam family "Bacterial small subunit ribosomal RNA", at positions 524 to 785 of the family's 1533-position model. The record is from RNAcentral.